This is a long non-coding RNA of Cyprinus carpio carpio, 1103 nucleotides long. NCBI's taxonomy places the organism in Eukaryota, Metazoa, Chordata, Actinopteri, Cypriniformes, Cyprinidae. The record is from Ensembl.
GAGAUCUAACAAAAACACUACAGAAGUGAACAAAAAGUAAACAUAAAAAUAUAUAAAAUCAUUAAAAGCACUUCCAGAAUAUAAGAGAAAUUAAUGCUUAAUCGAAUUGUUCAAAAUAAUUUCUUAAACCAAAUGUUUUAAAACUUGUUGAAUAACAUUUGGUUGACUAAGGACAAUAUCUAAAUGAUUUUCAAAGAGAGGUAAUUAUAGAGAGCAUACAAAGUAUACAACAAUACCUGUCUUUUUCUUGAUGAACGCUGCCUCACAGGUGAGGAUGAGGAUGAUGUAGCAGUCACAGGGGCAGGUGAUGAACUUUUCCUCACAGGUGAGGAUGAGGAUGAUGUAGCAGUCACAGGAGCAGGUGAUGAACGUUUCCUCACAGGUGAGGAUGAGGAUGAUGUAGCAGUCACAGGGGCAGGUGAUGAACGUUUCCUCACAGGUGAGGAUGAGGAUGAUGUAGCAGUCACAGGGGCAGGUGAUGAACGUUUCCUCACAGGUGAGGAUGAGGAUGAUGUAGCAGUAACAGGGGCAGGUGAUGAACUUUUCCUCACAGGUGAGGAUGAGAAUGAUGUAGCAGUAACAGGGGCAGGUGAUGAACUUUUCCUCACAGAUGAGGAUGAGAAUGAUGUAGCAGUAACAGGGGCAGGUGAUGAACUUUUCCUCACAGGUGAGGAUGAGGAUGAUGUAGCAGUAACAGGGGCAGGUGAUGAACGCUGCACAGAAGACCAAAGACACAAAAAAAAUACCACAGAUGUAAACAAAAAGUAAAUAUAAAUGCUUGCUUAAUUCAAAGUGCAUUGAUUUAGUUUAAGGGCAAGACAAAUGCAUUUGGAACAAAUAAUGUUUAAAACACAAAAGGGAGGAGAAAAUAAUGUAGAAUAAUCUUUUGAAACACUGAUAAUAAUUUUAAAUCUUUUAGUUACCAAACAACUAUACAAAGCUUUUGCAAAAAAAGCUUGAAAAGCUUGAAGAGUUCUAUGUACAGAACAUACAGAAAGACAGUCAGAUAUCAAUACGACAACAGAUUUGAGAAAUGAGAGUACCUUGGCUUGCCAAUCCCAGUCUCCAUAGCUGUAAGUAAUCUCUUCUCCUGGUUUAAUGUC